GGAGACUUUUAGAGGCCAGGGCAACACCGGGAUUCCUGGGAUGAACACUCACAUCUGAGAUGAUAUCUAGGAGGUUUUUAAAAAUUCAAAAGGAAAAAGAGCAAGAGCCCUGUAAACAACAUCUUCCGCAGCUCACUGUGGCACUGCAGCCAGAGAAUAACUGACGUUCAUGCUGGCUGCAGGGUCCCAACAGGGCAGAUCGGGCCCAGGAGAGGAGGGUGCCGGGGGCCGGCAGCACGCAGGAGAAGGCUGCUCCCGAGGGCACUCUGCCCGCCUGGAGAGACACCGCAGCUGGCGCACCUCUUUGGGGAAGGAAGGCAACUCGGUUAAUUCACCUAUCCGUCAGUAGAGACAAUGAAUUCGGAGUAUCUUGCAGGCAGCUACGUCCACAGGAAGUGCACCACUGCCCAAUCUAGGUCUGUUGCUUUCAAAGGCAAACAUCGCGCUUUGGGAAAACCACUCUGCAUGGGUGAGCUUCGCGUACCAGGUCACCGUGAUCCUGGCAGGCAGCUGUCAGACGUCUGCACGGAGGACCUGGUCAGCUUCACCCUGAAAUCACCUCUGACUCCUUCUCCCUCCCGGCACCAGAAGGAAAUGGUCCGGGUGCAGCCUGGUUUUGGAGAGUUUAAACGUUUUGUGUUACUAGAAAAAAAGUUAUUCUGAGAAGCAUAAUAAUGAUGCAAUUAUGUUUCUAACUGUAACCCUUUGUUGAUACUAUAAAUUUAAGAUCCCCCUAUGGAAACAAAAAGGGAAAAAUGAAAAUACAUGAUAAUAAUAAAAAGUUCCUAAAU
Chinchilla lanigera (long-tailed chinchilla) is the source of this 791-nucleotide long non-coding RNA. RefSeq lists it as uncharacterized. The record is from RefSeq and is a predicted model, not a curated record. The transcript is spliced from 3 exons. Lineage: Eukaryota; Metazoa; Chordata; Mammalia; Rodentia; Chinchillidae.